Molecule: ribosomal RNA, 403 nt
Filed under: uncultured bacterium
Lineage: Bacteria
Description: bacterial SSU rRNA
Rfam family: Bacterial small subunit ribosomal RNA
Source: RNAcentral
GUGGGGAAUCUUGCACAAUGGGGGCAACCCUGAUGCAGCGACGCCGCGUGAGCGAUGAAGCCCUUCGGGGCGUAAAGCUCUUUCGACCGGAACGAUAAUGACGGUACCGGGAGAAGAAGCUGCGGCUAACUACGAGCCAGCAGCCGCGGUAAUACGUAGGCAGCAAGCGUUGUUCGGAAUUACUGAGCGUAAAGCGUGCGUAGGCGGUUUUCUAAGUUCGGUGUGAACUCUCCCGGCUUAACUGGGAGGGUGCGCCGAAGACUGGGAAGCUGGAGUGUGGGAAAGGCAGGCGGAAUUCCUGGUGUAGCGGUGAAAUGCGUAGAUAUCAGGAGGAACACCGGCGGUGUAGACGGCUUGCUAGACCAUAACUGACGCUGAGGCACGAAAGCGUGGGUAGCAAACA